This 482-nucleotide ribosomal RNA is filed under the name uncultured bacterium. RNAcentral's name for it is "partial 16S ribosomal RNA". It matches the Rfam family "Bacterial small subunit ribosomal RNA", at positions 28 to 506 of the family's 1533-position model. The record is from RNAcentral.
GACGAACGCUGGCGGCGUGCUUAACACAUGCAAGUCGAACGCUGAAGCUCAGCUUUUGUUGGGUGGAUGAGUGGCGAACGGGUGAGUAACACGUGAGUAACCUGCCUCCUUCUUUGGGAUAACGCCCGGAAACGGGUGCUAAUACUGGAUAUUCACUGGUCUUCGCAUGGGGGUUGGUGGAAAGGGUUUUUCUGGUGGGGGAUGGGCUCGCGGCCUAUCAGCUUGUUGGUGGGGUGAUGGCCUACCAAGGCUUUGACGGGUAGCCGGCCUGAGAGGGUGACCGGUAACAUUGGGACUGAGAUACGGCCCAGACUCCUACGGGAGGCAGCAGUGGGGAAUAUUGCACAAUGGGCGCAAGCCUGAUGCAGCGACGCCGCGUGAGGGAUGGAGGCCUUCGGGUUGUGAACCUCUUUCGCUCAUGGUCAAGCCGCAACAAUGGUUGUGGUGAGGGUAGUGGGUAAAGAAGCGCCGGCUAACUACGU